Molecule: unclassified non-coding RNA, 324 nt
Filed under: plant metagenome
Description: partial contains 5.8S ribosomal RNA, internal transcribed spacer 2, and large subunit ribosomal RNA
Rfam family: 5.8S ribosomal RNA (bases 1-105)
Source: RNAcentral
GAAAUGCGAUAACUAAUGUGAAUUGCAGAAUUCAGUGAAUCAUCGAGUCUUUGAACGCACAUUGCGCCCCCUGGUAUUCCGGGGGGCAUACCUGUCCGAGCGUCAUUGCUGCCCUCAAGCCCGGCUUGUGUGUUGGGCCCUCGUCCCCCGGCUCCCGGGGGACGGGCCCGAAAGGCAGCGGCGGCACCGCGUCCGGUCCUCGAGCGUAUGGGGCUUCGUCUUCCGCUCCGUAGGCCCGGCCGGCGCCCGCCGACGCAUUUAUUUGCAACUUGUUUUUUUCCAGGUUGACCUCGGAUCAGGUAGGGAUACCCGCUGAACUUAAGC